Molecule: ribosomal RNA, 490 nt
Filed under: uncultured bacterium
Lineage: Bacteria
Description: partial 16S ribosomal RNA
Rfam family: Bacterial small subunit ribosomal RNA
Source: RNAcentral
GAUGAACGCUAGCGAUAGGCUUAACACAUGCAAGUCGAGGGGCAGCAUGGUCUUAGCUUGCUAAGACUGAUGGCGACCGGCGCACGGGUGCGUAACGCGUAUGCAACUUGCCUCACAGAGGGGGAUAACCCGUCGAAAGACGGACUAAUACCGCGUACACUUGGGAUAGGGCAUCCUGACCCAAGGAAAUGAAAUUCGCUGUGAGAUAGGCAUGCGUCCCAUUGGCUAGUUGGUGAGGUAACGGCUCACCAAGGCGACGAUGGGUAGGGGAACUGAGAGGUUGAACCCCCACACUGGUACUGAGACACGGACCAGACUCCUACGGGAGGCAGCAGUGAGGAAUAUUGGUCAAUGGGCGAGAGCCUGAACCAGCCAAGUCGCGUGAAGGAUGACUGUCUUAUGGAUUGUAAACUUCUUUUAUACGGGAAUAACAAGAGUCACGUGUGGCUCCCUGCAUGUACCGUAUGAAUAAGCAUCGGCUAACUCCGUG